AUGAGCGAAUCUGGUUUCGUAAAGGAAAAAAGAGACAAGUAUCAAGAUCGAUCAUGUAUUUUUUAUUGUUAUGAUUCUUACUAGUGAAUUUUGUAACCUUUUUGAAUCUGUUGUGUCACAUUUGUAUUUUGUAAAUAACUAUUCCUUUGUGCUUCAUUCAUGGUUUCAUCUUAAAAGUCAUUUUUUGCGGCCGUUAAAUGAUUGUAAAUAAGGUGGUAGGGUUGGGUUCAACGGAAACCGAGAAGAACUGAUCCUAAACUAAAACUUAAAUUAAACUAAACUGUUAAAUUCAAAUUAUAAACCCUGAAAGCCGAUUUCCCCCGUACAGCUUUGGUUGGUUAUAUCAAUUGUAUGACUCGUCAUUAAACAAUCAGCACACAAAGAUUUUCCUCAUCAAAAAUUCACAGAAGCCAUUGCUAGUUGUUAAUUAAUCACACAGAUUACCGACCCUUGCUGGCCUAGCUAGAUUGUCUUGGAGUUUAUUAGUCGAUGGUGUGGUAUGUCGAAUUUUUUUUCUUUUUCGGUUACAGAUGUCAUCACGGCUCAUUUUCACUAAUAAAAGCAUCAACAUGGUGAAAAUAAAAGAAGAUAUCAAGGUGAUGGAUAAUUUGUGGAUUAAAAUAGAUCGAUGUAUAAGGAUAGAUUGGUGUAAUUUUAAGUUGUAAGUCGUAUUUUUUGU
RNAcentral lists this long non-coding RNA (679 nucleotides) under Helianthus annuus (common sunflower). Its description in RNAcentral is "hypothetical non coding rna". Lineage: Eukaryota; Viridiplantae; Streptophyta; Magnoliopsida; Asterales; Asteraceae. The record is from RNAcentral.